UACGUAGGGUGCAAGCGUUAAUCGGAAUUACUGGGCGUAAAGCGUGCGCAGGCGGUGAUGUAAGACAGUUGUGAAAUCCCCGGGCUCAACCUGGGAACUGCAUUUGUGACUGCAUCGCUGGAGUGCGGCAGAGGGGGAUGGAAUUCCGCGUGUAGCAGUGAAAUGCGUAGAUAUGCGGAGGAACACCGAUGGCGAAGGCAAUCCCCUGGGCCUGCACUGACGCUCAUGCACGAAAGCGUGGGGAGCAAAAGGG
RNAcentral lists this ribosomal RNA (253 nucleotides) under uncultured bacterium. RNAcentral describes it as "partial 16S ribosomal RNA". It matches the Rfam family "Bacterial small subunit ribosomal RNA", at positions 524 to 776 of the family's 1533-position model. The record is from RNAcentral.